RNAcentral lists this long non-coding RNA (7323 nucleotides) under Marmota monax (woodchuck). The record is from RNAcentral. Lineage: Eukaryota; Metazoa; Chordata; Mammalia; Rodentia; Sciuridae.
GCCCCCUUGAGACCUGGGGUUGGUGUAGGUGCGUGGCUUCCUACGUCACUGACCACCGCAGGAACGUCUGAGUCACCUUUCAGGUUAGAAUUGAUUCCCAGUGACAUGAGGCUUUGCUUGAUGAGUCACAAAGCAGCCAUCAGCAUAGCUCUCAGUGGUCCUGGAUGUGCAGAGUCAGAAAUCCACCGCGGGAACAGCCUAGCUGACGGUCAGAGAGGGCUCCCGUGGGCUGGGCACCCUUCUGUGCACGCUGGGAAUGCAUUUAAGGAGGAAGCCAUUACUGUUCUGCUCUGUGCGCCAUGUUUAAGGACACGGAGCAUCAGGGGUGCUGCCUCAGUGGCCUGGGUCAGGCUUGGGGAGCCGAGAAGGCCUGCAGUGGGACUCGGGCUGACUGAUGGAGUGCAGGGCUGUAGGCAGCCGCUCAGGUACAUCAAGUGCAUGUCUCAAGGGGGCGGGGGGAGGCUGGAGUGACAGCUCCUGGGUCGAUUUUGACUUUGCCAUAUGCUGUAUAAUAUGAUUUUAAACCAAAUGAAAGAGAGAAUGAGUUUCCUGAGGAAAUUUGAACUUGAUGCUUUCUCCUCAUUUAUUGUUAGCAGAUUCUAAUUUUCCCUUUAUCCUCUAUCAGUGUAAAAUCAAUCAUUUUAAUGCACAUAAUAAUCAACAUAUAAUAAAUCUGCUUAUAUUUUCUGAAUCACUAACAGGGACAUGCGAGAAAUAACAGAUAAGGUUAUUAUGGCAAAUAAAUAAGAUUGGUGACUCCUGAAAUCCCAUAAGAAUUAGUGUAUGAAGCAUUGAUGUACCAUCUAAUCAAUGAAUCAGGUUUUCAGAUGAGUGUCCACUAGUCAGGUCCUUUUAGUACCCUCAUAUCUUUUAUAGAAGCUCUGUUCAUUUCCUCACUGUUGUAGGGUCCACAGGAGCGCCUUUCUUUGAGCUGAGUUACUACAGAUCACUUUUACCCAUGAAUUGCCCCUAACAUGGCACUUUCUCCUGUCCUCAUCAUGACAGUGGUAGAGAGUGACCAGCCACAGAGUCCUGGUCACUGCAGCCUACUGGGACCAGGAGCGUGACCGGGGCUGUGGGGUCCAGGAUGCCCAGCGUCUCCAUCUCACGGUGCUGCCCCAUCUCCCAGGAUGACAGACGGACGUGUCUUUGGUGUUAGCAGGAGAGAGAAGGCUGAAUAUGUGUGCAAAGAGCUGAAGAAUCAUUGUGAGAGGAAAUAUUUCAAACUAGCAUGAUGUAAAGUGGGCUUCAGAUUCAAGAAUGAUUUCCUCAUGAAAUAUUUCUAAUAAUAGAUACAAAAGACCUAAUUUUUGACAAAUGUCAACAUUUUUCUAAUUGAGAUUUCAAAUUUUGAAAGAAAAAAUGUAGGUAGCUGAAGUCCUCUUUGAAGCCUUUCCUCAACUCUUUCCCUCUCUGACGGCAGCUCCUGUCCGAGGGUUGGUGUGCGUGCCACCGUGUUCCUGACAUCUCCCAUACAUGUGUGCACACGCACACAGGUAUACACGUAUGUACGUGGACAUGCGUGUCUAUGUUGAACCCACAAUUGCACUUGAGUCCUCGGAGCCCGUCUGGGAGCCCAGUGUGGUGGAGCUCUCCAUCAGUGAGUCAAAGCGGUAUGUUCCGCUCACGGAGAGGGGCAGGUGGACACUCCAGCGCAACGCGAGGUCUGCCUAGACGGCUCUCAGCACACGCUCUUCCUUCCUUUCCUUCCACAGACAGAACACUCUCACUUUGCUGCCCAAGAAAGACCUCUCAGAAGCCAUUCCCAGCUCCAGCUUUAAGGUCAAAGUCCACAUGGAGGCUAAAGGUGGCUCUUUGCAGAGGAGCACUCUAGAGCUGAGAGAAGAGCAGGACCUGACCCAGGCAGGGGUGGAGCCAGGCCAACGGCGCCCUCAGCACCCUCCUCUGGACGGCAGGCAGGCGCAGGAGGGGCACAGAGCCGCGCUGCUUGCGUGGCCGCGCUGGAGUCCAGGGGUGAAGCCGCUCCACCUCUGCACUCGGCUCCCCUCCCCACCGUGGCUAGCUCCUUGCCACCUAUGCCUCUAGAGACCCUGUUGCUCCCUGCGGCCAUUCUGAGGAGCUCAGGAGGUCAGCCGAGGGCCUCCCCACCUUGUCUUCAGCUGAAGUGCAUCUUUGGCCCCCUGGCCGUCAGGUGCCCGGAGCCUGGGGCCUGCUGCUCUGGAACCUGAUGUUUCUACAGCUGAGUUGCAAUCUUUGGUGGGUUUGGGAUUUGGGGUUUCUAUUUCUUCCUGGUAAUUCAUGUUUUCUAGGAAAUUAAUCACUUCAUGUAAGUUUUCUGUGCAUUGGCAUAAAGAUGUCACAGUGUCAUCUCCAUGUGAAGGCUCUCUGUCUUUACUGUGGCUUCAUUUUCACUCUGUGCUUUCGUUGGGAUCUGGAAUGACUCCUGCAGGCCUGGUGUUAAGGCCCUGGGUGUUAUUCAGGCUUGGUGCUCAGCUUGGUGCUGCUGGAAGGGGAGGAGCCUUUAAGGGGUGAGGCCAAGGGGAGGUUUGGGAAGGAGGGACCUGGGUCUCUUCCCCUCUCUCUCUGCUCCCAGCCACGCAGAGAGCAGCCUCUCCGCCCAGACUCCUGCUGCCCUGCACUGUGCACCACAGGCCCCAAGCAGGGCUGUCAGUCACCGCCGACAGCUCCAGAACUGAGUCAGUCACCUUUCCUCUUCCUCAGCUGAUGGCCUCAGGUGUCUGUUGUAGUAACAGCUGACCAACUGCCCUCACCACUUGGGUUUGUUACCUGUGUCCCCCCUCUCUCUCUCUCUCUCUCUCUGUCAUUUUUUUUUUGGUUGUUUCUGCUACUCGUUUUACUCUUUUAUUAAUGUUUUCAAAGAAGUCUUGAGUUUGGUCUGGCCUCUCUAUUGUAGGUAUUUUUCUAUUUUAUGAACCUGUUCUUUCCUAGGCAGCUCCAUUACUUUGAUCUUGAUCUUGGGCUCUCUGUCUGAACUUUUGAGUUGAUCACUUGCCUUCUUCUUCUUCUUCUUUUUUACUUUUCUUCCUUUAUAACAUGUGCAAUGAUAAUUACAUAUUUCCCUGGGAAAAUAUUUAUUAUCGAACCACACAAGUCAUAUGAUAUACUAGGGAUUCUUUUGUUGUCUUUCAACUCUAAAUGUUUUAUAUUUUUCAGUGUGUCAUACACUGCACCUGUCCUGUAUUGAAAAGUAUAUUUAGUUACAACUGGUAAUUACUUGGUGUUCUCUAUUUAUACCUGACUCCAUGGUGUGUCUUGUGAGAGAACUAUUCUUAGGAUACUGAUUCCUGGUAUUUGUUGGGCUGGGCUUCCUGUCCUUGCAUGUAGUCAAUUGCCAUAAAUAACGCACAUGUUUAAAAGAGCCAAUGUUCUCUCCCGAGGGCAGAAUUGUGUCUAUAUUCAUUCAUUAAAUUUCUUAGAAUCUAAUACUUUUCCUCCUUGCUCUCUAUGUUCUCAGGAAAGUUUGUCCAACUCCUUCACUAGGUUUGUAGGUGGGUCACAUUAUCAUGGUAAUUCUGUCAGUCUUUGUGCUUUGCAUUUAAACAUGUGUCUGGGUUCAUCAUGGUUCACUGAUGAGGAAUAAGGGGCCCUUCAGCUCUAGGGUCCUGUUGUGCACCACAAAGCCACACAACCCUCACACCAGCGUCACCAUCCCUGUGCCAGGAGCUGGGCGUGACCUGGCCAGGCCCCCGCUGGGGCUUCAGUGGUCUCGGUAGAGGGUUAGCCAGGCUGUGCUCACCUGCAGGCUCACCUGGGAACCUGCUUUCUAGUCCACUCAGGUUGGAACUCCUGUCUUUGUGGUUGGAGGUGCGAGGACCUGAGAGGCCUCCUGGCUGCUGUUGGAGGGUGGCCUGCAGUUCUAGAGGCUUCUGGCUGCUGCUGACCACGUGGUCUUCCCAGCAUGGCUGGUUCCAGGAGUCCAUUAGCAGGACAGUCUUCCUGACACUACAUAAGCACAAAGCAGUGCCCCGCCUCUGCCCUGUUCUGAUCCUUGGAACAACCCAGGGCCUGGCUGGUGCUGGGGAAGGGGAUCUGCACCGAGUGUGAGUUCCAGGAGGUGGAGAUAUGGGGGUCUGCUGGCAUCUGUCCACCCAACCCCAGUGGGCUUUUCUGCCUUGACACCAGUCGUGUUUAAUAUGAGCAAACCGAGUUAUUUAGAUUCGUAGUUGCCUAGUAGAACUUUUCUUAUGCUUUUUAUGUUUCAUUGCUCCCCCUACAUUUCAAUUCCGGUGGGUCUUUCUUGUUCUAUCUUUAUUUUUCCUUUGUGAAUUUCCAUUCUUUGUAUUUUAUUUCCCCUUUCCUGCAUAUAUGAGAUCAUUAAAUCUCUUCCCACUACUGAUUUUGAAGUUAUUUACUUUUUUAGUUCUUAGGAGCUACUCUUAAAUUCUUUAUCAUCCCUGCACUCAUCUAAAUAAAGGCUGGGGGCUGAAGAUACAGCUCAGUGGUGGAGCUUAGCACCCGUAAGGGCCCCAUGUUCAAUCCCAGCACCACAAAAAAAUAAAAGGAAAGAUACCUUGCUGUUUAACAUAAGUGCAGCUAAAAUCAGUGACUAUCUGUGUUCCCCUCCUGAAUAAUCCCAAAGCAGAGCGACCUUUGACCCUACCUUGGGCCCUGUGGCCCCCUGUCCCUGGACCAUGGCUGAGCAGCACUUGAGCGGAGCUUUCCAUUGCUCCCCCCCUGUGGUCACCACAGCCGCUUUGCCCCAUGGGGACACCCCUCUGUGCUUCUCAGGUCACUGCUGCUUCUUCAUGUCACCUCUGGGCUUCGAUCCCAUUUUAUCAAGAGGUGAGUUCUUCCUUUCCUGUGGUGAUGCUUACAGUUUGACUUAGAACGUGUCUGCCAUUGUUCUUGGUCGGCAGUGUAGCUCAGCAGACUGCAGCUGCUGCCGUCUCCCUUGGCACCCUAAAGACAACCCGUCGUGUUCGGAGAUCUGCUCCUGUUGACAGCAGCUUGGUUGGAGGGUGGCUGUCGUUCUUUGUCAGCAGUGGGGCUCCUGUAGGUAAAAUGGUUUUCUCUAGAAUUUGUUUCAAAUUUUUCCCUAUUUUGUUGGUGUUUUUCCUUCAAGGGCUGGUUAUCAGGUGACCUGCUCUUGUUUUGGAUGUCUCUUCCAGGGCUGGGGCCUAUAUUCUCUAUUUAAAUCCUCCGGAGUGUUUCCUUUUCUUUCCUGGAGUUUGGCUAUACAUUUGCAAAAUGAAGCCUGGCUAGGGGGUUCUUUGUCUCACAAAUUCCAAGAAUGAGAUUCACAGAUAGCAGUGGGUGAAUGCAAAGUGGAAGAAUUUAUUAAAAAAGCAAAGUUCCUACCUCAAGGAGGGAAGCCAGAGGAUUCUCAGUGGAGGGCUGCUGUUGAGGGGUCGCUGCGUGGAUCUGUAGGUCUAAGGAAGUCAGCCCUGGCCCAGAGCUGGCAGAGGCACUCAGUCACGUAUUGAUCAGGCAUUGUCCCGGGACCCAUUUCCCUAUGUGUCUGGCCUUUCUCUUCCUCCUGACCACAUUCCCCAUGAAGAGGUAAUCCUAACUGCUGUUAUGGAAUCUUACUAACCACCUGUGGCUUCUAUUGGAAGCAUCAGGGACAUUUCUCUCUCCACUGACUGUCCUCUGUGCAGAAUGUGCACUCACUGGCUUUCUGUUCUUUAGGGUCCUCACGAUCCCCCUGACCAGGAGGUCAGAUGACUUACCAGAGUCUUAGAGCCUUAGAGGGGUCUCAUCACUCCCUGGGUCCUGGCUGACCUUAGAGGGCAAGGGCCAAUAUAUUGGCUGAUUUUUACUUAAUGCUUUUACUUUCUUGGCUUUGAUCUUCAAGUUUUGGUUUUAAACACCCACAAGCCAGUUUCACCAGUCUUGAAGUGGGAGUAAUGGGUUUUAACUUAGAAGUUUAUAAUUUAUCCCUUUCAUCUAAUUAGGUUAGUACUAGUACUGGACAUCAGCAUUGUGUCCUAUCUGUUUUGAGAGCUAAUUGUCUUAAGUUAACUCAGCUUGUUCUGACAGAAGCAGUACUUCUGCAGAACACUAACAGGCAACAGUUCACAAAGUGAAAAUAACAAGAGCAAAAACUUAGUUCAGGUACUAGCUUCGAACCAAGAAGCAUAAUCUCUAUAAUAUCACUAAUAUGUCUUUGGUAUGUAUUUAACCUCUACAAAGGCCCAAGCAAUUUUUUUAACUUAAUCACACAUGAAUUCUUUUUAUGAAUUUUAAAAACAGUGUUAGUAAUCAGAAACAGAAACAGGUCUAAGUCAGGUUUUUAAAUGGCAGAGUGCCCCAUUUAUGCCAGAUACCAAGUCUAGAGGAGAGCACUUACUGGUUGUCUUGCCUACACCAAACACACAUCACUUUCAUGGUAGAAACUUUUUAAUAUAUAUAGUCAUGUACAUUUAGGGUGUCAAUUUUAUACCAACAACCUAAAAUAACAGUUGUUUGCUUAACUAGACUUAUACUCAAUUUCCCUAAGCAAUAAAAUCUAAUACCUAUAAGAAAUUAUCUUGAUAGAUAAGAACAGAUUAAUGUUCCAAGAAAUCCUUGUUGCUUUAACAGAACUAGAUGUUGGCUUUUAUAUCAGCACAUCAAUAUUCGACCUUAGGGAAAAACCUUAAAUAACUUUAACUGUGAACAUAGCUAAAACCUUUUGUACUCCUUGCAUAUGGAAUUACAUCUGUUAAUUAAAAUCUUAACUCUUAUAACCUUGCUUUAAGUGAAGACCUGGAAACAAGCUAAUCUCCAUCUGUUUUUCUUUUACAAAUAAUUUAUAAAAACAUUUUUAAUGGGCAAAGAAACUAAACAGAACUUCUCAAAAGAGGAAUACAAACGGCCAACAAAUAUAUGAAAAAAUGUUCAACUUCUCAAGAAAUUAGGGAAAUACAAAUUAAAACUACAGAGAUUUCAUCUCACUCCAGUCAGAAUGGCAGUUAUCAAGAAUACAAAUAAUAAUAAAUGUUGGUAAGGACGGGGGGCUGGGGAAAGAUACUCUCAUACACUGUUGGUUGGACUACAAAUUGGUUCAACCACACUGGAAAUAAGUAUGUAGAUUCCUCAAAAUACCAGGAAUGGAACCCCCAUAUGACCCAGCUAUCCCACUCCUUGAUAUAUAUUCAAAGGAUUUAAAACAGCAGCCACAUCAAUGUUUACAACAGCACAACUCACAGUAGCCAAGCUAUGGAGCCAACCUAGGUGCCCUUCAACAGAUGAAUGGGUAAAGAAAAUGUGGUGUAUACUCAUGAUGGAGUAUUACUCAGUCUUAAAGAAGAAUGACAUCAUGGCAUUUACUGGUAAAUGGAUGGAGCUGGAGACUAUCAUGCUAAGUGAAAUAAGCCAGUUCCCUAAAAGUCAAAGGUAGAACGUUUUUUCUGAUAUAUG